Molecule: ribosomal RNA, 1458 nt
Filed under: Scutellospora calospora
Lineage: Eukaryota; Fungi; Glomeromycota; Glomeromycetes; Diversisporales; Gigasporaceae
Description: eukaryotic LSU rRNA
Rfam family: Eukaryotic large subunit ribosomal RNA (bases 655-1458)
Source: RNAcentral
UAUUGCUCUUCAACGAGGAAUCCCUAGUAAGCACAAGUCAUCAGCUUGUGUUGAUUACGUCCCUGCCCUUUGUACACACCGCCCGUCGCUACUACCGAUUGAAUGGCUUAGUGAGGCCUUCGGAUCGAUGAUCGAAGACUGGCAACAGUUUUUGGUUGUUAAGAAGUUGGUCAAACUUGGUCAUUUAGAGGAAGUAAAAGUCGUAACAAGGUUUCCGUAGGUGAACCUGCGGAAGGAUCAUUAAAAAAUUUGGGGUAUUUAUACCUCUUGUAUUUAAAACCCAACUCUUUAAACUUGAAUUUUUUUUAAUAAAAUCAAAACUUUCAACAACGGAUCUCUUGGCUCUCGCAUCGAUGAAGAACGCAGCGAAAUGCGAAAAGUAAUGUGAAUUGCAGAAUUCCGUGAAUCAUUAAAUCUUUGAACGCAAAUUGCACUCCUUGGUAUUCCGAGGAGUACACUUGCUUGAGGGUCAGUUAAAAAACUAUCGUUACAUAUUUUUUGUGUUGCGGAUCUGGGUUAUCCGACUCUUUAAGUCGGUUACCUAAAAUUAAAGAUUAUAAUGUGAUACGUACUAAGAUAAAGUCGUUUAUCAUUAAAACUUGAUAUAUAUUACUUCUAAUUUUUUUAGUUGGUAGUGUAUAUAAUUUCUAAAAAUGACCUCAAGUCAAGUGAGAGUACCCGCUGAACUUAAGCAUAUCAAUAAGCGGAGGAAAAGAGACUAACAAGGAUUCCCCUAGUAACGGCGAGUGAAGCGGGAAGAGCACAAAUUUUAAAUCUACCUGGUUUACCGGGUCGAGUUGUAAUUUGAAGAAGCGUUUUUAAUGUUCCGGGUUGGUUUAAAUCCUUUGGGAUAAGGUAUCAUGGAGGGUGAGAAUCCCGUGUAUAUCAACCGCUGGGAUGUUAUUAAUACGUUCCUAAGAGUCGAGUUGUUUGGGAAUGCAGCUCUAAAUGGGUGGUAAAUUUCACCUAAUGCUAAAUAUAAGCGAGAGACCGAUAGCGAACAAGUACCGUGAGGGAAAGAUGAAAAGAACUUUGAAAAGAGAGUUAAAUAGUACGUGAAAUUGUUGAAAGGGAAACGAUUGAAGUCAGUCAUGCCGGCGGGAAUCAACUUUGGGGAAGGGGGAUUUUUUUGAACCUAACCUUGAAGUGCACUUCCUUGCUUGGCAGGUUAGUGUCGAUUUUGAACGUCAUAAAAUGACUGGGGGAAGGUAGCUUCUUCGGGAGUGUUAUAGCUCUUAGUUAAUGUGAUGUUUGGGAUCGAGGAUUGCAACGGAUACCUUUUAGGCUAGCCGCCUGGCCUCUGAUUCGAUGUUGGGUUAUAGACAGCAUGCUGACUAUGAUCUGAUUAUUGGUCAAAAGGUUAGAGUGAGCAUAAAUUCGUCAAGGACGCUGACGUAAUGGCUUUAAACGACCCGUCUUGAAACACGGACCAAGGAGUCUAACAUGUAUGCGAGUGUU